UGGGAUGUAGCUCAGUGCUAGAAUGUUUGCCUCGCAUGCACAAAACUCUGGGUUUGAUUCCCAGCACCACAC
This is a non-coding RNA of Ictidomys tridecemlineatus (thirteen-lined ground squirrel), 72 nucleotides long. Lineage: Eukaryota; Metazoa; Chordata; Mammalia; Rodentia; Sciuridae. The record is from Rfam.